Molecule: ribosomal RNA, 496 nt
Filed under: uncultured bacterium
Lineage: Bacteria
Description: partial 16S ribosomal RNA
Rfam family: Bacterial small subunit ribosomal RNA
Source: RNAcentral
GAUGAACGCUGGCGGCGUGCCUAAUACAUGCAAGUCGAGCGAACAGAUGAGGAGCUUGCUCCUCUGACGUUAGCGGCGGACGGGUGAGUAACACGUGGAUAACCUACCUAUAAGACUGGGAUAACUUCGGGAAACCGGAGCUAAUACCGGAUAAUAUAUUGAACCGCAUGGUUCAAUAGUGAAAGACGGUUUUGCUGUCACUUAUAGAUGGAUCCGCGCCGCAUUAGCUAGUUGGUAAGGUAACGGCUUACCAAGGCAACGAUGCGUAGCCGACCUGAGAGGGUGAUCGGCAACACUGGAACUGAAACACGGUCCGGACUCCUACGGAGGGCAGCAGAAGGAAAUCUUCCGCAAGGGGCGAAAGCCUGAGGGAGCAACGCCGCGUGAGUGAUAAAGGUCUUCGGAUCGUAAACCGCUGUUAUUAGGGAAAAACAAAUGUGUAGGUAACUAUGCACGUCUGGACGGUACCAAAUCAGAAAGCCACGGCUAACUACGU